UUAUCAGUGUGGUUAAUCCUUACCUGGUUUUCCUUAUGGGGAAGCAGGCAUAAUGAAUGGAGGAGGAUGAGUGUGUGAUUACACCAAUCUCCCCACUGCUCUAAACUGACAACUCAGAGUGUUUCAUGUUCUGAG
This is a small nucleolar RNA of Rana temporaria (common frog), 135 nucleotides long. RefSeq annotates it as U8 small nucleolar RNA. Lineage: Eukaryota; Metazoa; Chordata; Amphibia; Anura; Ranidae. The record is from RefSeq and is a predicted model, not a curated record. The transcript has a single exon.